RNAcentral lists this transfer RNA (67 nucleotides) under Drilonius striatulus. RNAcentral describes it as "tRNA-Ser". Lineage: Eukaryota; Metazoa; Arthropoda; Insecta; Coleoptera; Omethidae. The record is from RNAcentral.
AGUUAAUGAACUUGAUAAAGUAUAUAUUUUGAAAAUAUAAUAUAAAGACUAAACUCUUUAUUAACUU